CAGAGGUGCCAAGCGUUGUUCGGAUUUAUUGGGCGUAAAGGGUGCGUAGGCGGUGAUGCAAGUCGGGUGUGAAAUACCGGAGCCUAACUCCGGAACGGCAUUUGAAACUGCAUCGCUAGAGAUCUGGAGAGGUGAGUGGAAUUCUCGGUGUAGCAGUGAAAUGCGUAGAUAUCGAGAGGAACACCAGAGGCGAAAGCGACUCACUGGACAGAAUCUGACGCUGAGGCACGAAAGCUAGGGGAGCAAACGGGAUCAGAUACCCCGGUAGUCCUAGCCGUAAACGGUGCGUAUUUGAGGUAGGAGGAUUCGACCCCUUCUGUCUCGCAGCUAACGCGCUAAAUACGCCGCCUGGGGAGUACGGUCGCAAGAUUA
RNAcentral lists this ribosomal RNA (372 nucleotides) under uncultured organism. Its description in RNAcentral is "bacterial SSU rRNA". It matches the Rfam family "Bacterial small subunit ribosomal RNA", at positions 526 to 896 of the family's 1533-position model. The record is from RNAcentral.